This 133-nucleotide non-coding RNA is filed under the name Phascolarctos cinereus (koala). Lineage: Eukaryota; Metazoa; Chordata; Mammalia; Diprotodontia; Phascolarctidae. The record is from RNAcentral.
GACAUUGUUGAAAGGAGAGGUUAGCAUUCCCUUUGAUAAAAAUGGAAGAGAUCCUAGAGGCCUUUAUAAUUCAGUUACUAAAGGCAAUGCCUUCUAUUUGAUGGACUCCAACUAUAUUAAGAAAAAUUUUUUU